Molecule: ribosomal RNA, 233 nt
Filed under: uncultured Actinomycetales bacterium
Lineage: Bacteria; Bacillati; Actinomycetota; Actinomycetes; Actinomycetales
Description: partial 16S ribosomal RNA
Rfam family: Bacterial small subunit ribosomal RNA
Source: RNAcentral
GGCGAACGGGUGAGUAACACGUGGGUGAUCUGCCCUGCACUUCGGGAUAAGCUUGGGAAACUGGGUCUAAUACCGGAUAGGAGCCAUCUUUAGUGUGGUGGUUGGAAAGUUUUUCGGUGUAGGAUGAGCUCGCGGCCUAUCAGCUUGUUGGUGGGGUAAUGGCCUACCAAGGCGGCGACGGGUAGUCGGCCUGAGAGGGUGUACGGCCACAUUGGGACUGAGAUACGGCCCAG